GAUAAGCUCAUUCAUUCUUAUUCUUUCUCUUUUUUCUUCCUUCUUCUUCUCUUCUCCUAUGUUCUUAUUCUUCUUCUUAUCUGGUGAUUCAGAGAGGAAAUCUCUGUUGAGAAAACCUUACAGAAAAUUAGUGAAACCAAUCAAUCAAGUGUGGUGUUGAUGAUUUCAUAGUUUGGGUUUGGUUAGAACCCUCGAUUGAGUUGAAAAGAAGUGUUUCUGUGAAAGACAGGGUUUGAGUUUGAUGUUGAGUUUAUUUGUAAAUUGAUAAGUUAAUCGGGAUGUUAACUGGUGAAUAUUAAGAGGGUUGAUAUCUAAUUUAACCUGUAAAAUUAUUUUGAUGUUGAACCAAGAGGUAGGGUUUCUGGGAGAAAUUCAAAGAAGAAUUCGAAGAUGGAAUUGAGAGUUUAAAGGGAAGAUUUGAGAUGGUUUUGACCAGGUAUGAAGUAGAAUUGUUAGUAUGAGUUUAAUUUGAUUUCAAAGCAAAUUAGGGUUUUUGUUCUUCCCCAAAACAGAGAUCAGGGUUUAUAGAUCGAAUUGUAUAUUCUUAUGGGAUUGAUAGAUGAACUGAGUUGUGGUGGAUGAAGAAUAACUGGGUUGUAGUUUAAUUGAAGAUGUGAAGUGGUUAUGUUGAAAGAUCAGUGAGUUAGGGUUCUAAAGAGGAUUGAGAAAUAAAUUGGGGUUUAUGGUGUGGGUUGAAAUUGAACUGGCUUACCAGAGAAGAUGAAUUAGUUUUAAGAUGCUGGACAUGUGUCUGAGGUAAUUGUUCUUCUCUGUUAUUUUUGUUAAGUUAUGCAGUUAUAUUGAAACAAUAAUAUUCUGGAAUUAAUUGAGGUUGAGAUGAUUGAUCAAUGAAACUGUAAUUGUAGUUAGAAGUGGUAGAGAUAGUAAAAAGAGUUGUUGAAUUUGUAUCUCAGUUGGAUGAAGUGAUAAUGCAAGUGGUGAUUAAGUUACAAGGUUUCAAAUGGAUUUCUGAAUCUGAGAUAGAGAAGGCAGUAGCUGCUCUGGUGAUGGUGUUAUGUUGAAUUCAGAUUGCAGAGUUGUUCUUAUUGAAUGGAACAAUUAGUUGCAGGAAAUAACAGAGCUGUAAUGAGGCCUCAGGGUUAAAGAUGAACUAGUUGUAUGAGAUGUUGUGUGGCUGAAGUGUUAGUAUGAUGGUUAGAUGAUUGUAUGGAGUUGUACCCUCUGUAGAAGUUUGUAACUGCAAUUUCAGGUAAGAUGAAUUGUGAUUAAGAAUGCUCUUGUGAAGUUUACUUGGAUUCGGUGUACUGUUGUAAUGCUGGUGGUGAUGGAUAUGUGAUGUAUGAGCUGUUAUAGGUGAAGUUUGGGUAUAAGAGGGAUUAGUGAAUGUUGAAUUGAUAUUGUAGAAAGAGUUUUGCUGUAAAAGCUUGGAACUGCAAUUACAGUUAGUCUGUAUUAACAACGAUCGAUUCGAAGGAUGAACCAGUGGAUCGUGGUCUCCAAGUAGGCGUGGCUUGUCAUCAAAAGAGUUUCAGAGACAGAUCAGAGUUGCGCAGCGAAAGCUUCAAGGGUUGAUUUCGUUAGUUGGAUAACUUCUGCUAUAUUUAUUAUAUUGUAUAUUCUAUUUGUAAACCAAAUGGCUAUUAUAUAAGUAUCAUUUUAGAGGAGAUUUGUAUAUAUAUAUUCCAGAGCGAGGCUAGUUUUUGGGUUAAGUUUUGUAGCAGAUUUCUUAAUUGAAUGCUAAAGUAUAUGAUUUAGAUUCUUAG
Long non-coding RNA from Papaver somniferum (opium poppy), 1724 nucleotides. RefSeq lists it as uncharacterized. The transcript is spliced from 3 exons. The record is from RefSeq and is a predicted model, not a curated record. Lineage: Eukaryota; Viridiplantae; Streptophyta; Magnoliopsida; Ranunculales; Papaveraceae.